RNAcentral lists this ribosomal RNA (1552 nucleotides) under Pantoea cypripedii. Its description in RNAcentral is "bacterial SSU rRNA". It matches the Rfam family "Bacterial small subunit ribosomal RNA". The record is from RNAcentral. Lineage: Bacteria; Pseudomonadati; Pseudomonadota; Gammaproteobacteria; Enterobacterales; Erwiniaceae.
ACUUAAAUUGAAGAGUUUGAUCAUGGCUCAGAUUGAACGCUGGCGGCAGGCCUAACACAUGCAAGUCGAACGGUAGCACAGAGGAGCUUGCUCCUUGGGUGACGAGUGGCGGACGGGUGAGUAAUGUCUGGGGAUCUGCCCGAUGGAGGGGGAUAACUACUGGAAACGGUAGCUAAUACCGCAUAACGUCGCAAGACCAAAGUGGGGGACCUUCGGGCCUCACACCAUCGGAUGAACCCAGAUGGGAUUAGCUAGUAGGUGGGGUAACGGCUCACCUAGGCGACGAUCCCUAGCUGGUCUGAGAGGAUGACCAGCCACACUGGAACUGAGACACGGUCCAGACUCCUACGGGAGGCAGCAGUGGGGAAUAUUGCACAAUGGGCGCAAGCCUGAUGCAGCCAUGCCGCGUGUAUGAAGAAGGCCUUCGGGUUGUAAAGUACUUUCAGCGGGGAGGAAGGGGUUGAGUUUAAUACGCUCAAUCAUUGACGUUACCCGCAGAAGAAGCACCGGCUAACUCCGUGCCAGCAGCCGCGGUAAUACGGAGGGUGCAAGCGUUAAUCGGAAUUACUGGGCGUAAAGCGCACGCAGGCGGUCUGUCAAGUCGGAUGUGAAAUCCCCGGGCUUAACCUGGGAACUGCAUUCGAAACUGGCAGGCUAGAGUCUCGUAGAGGGGGGUAGAAUUCCAGGUGUAGCGGUGAAAUGCGUAGAGAUCUGGAGGAAUACCGGUGGCGAAGGCGGCCCCCUGGACGAAGACUGACGCUCAGGUGCGAAAGCGUGGGGAGCAAACAGGAUUAGAUACCCUGGUAGUCCACGCCGUAAACGAUGUCGACUUGGAGGUUGUGCCCUUGAGGCGUGGCUUCCGGAGCUAACGCGUUAAGUCGACCGCCUGGGGAGUACGGCCGCAAGGUUAAAACUCAAAUGAAUUGACGGGGGCCCGCACAAGCGGUGGAGCAUGUGGUUUAAUUCGAUGCAACGCGAAGAACCUUACCUGGCCUUGACAUCCAGAGAACUUAGCAGAGAUGCUUUGGUGCCUUCGGGAACUCUGAGACAGGUGCUGCAUGGCUGUCGUCAGCUCGUGUUGUGAAAUGUUGGGUUAAGUCCCGCAACGAGCGCAACCCUUAUCCUUUGUUGCCAGCGAUUCGGUCGGGAACUCAAAGGAGACUGCCGGUGAUAAACCGGAGGAAGGUGGGGAUGACGUCAAGUCAUCAUGGCCCUUACGGCCAGGGCUACACACGUGCUACAAUGGCGCAUACAAAGAGAAGCGACCUCGCGAGAGCAAGCGGACCUCAUAAAGUGCGUCGUAGUCCGGAUUGGAGUCUGCAACUCGACUCCAUGAAGUCGGAAUCGCUAGUAAUCGUAGAUCAGAAUGCUACGGUGAAUACGUUCCCGGGCCUUGUACACACCGCCCGUCACACCAUGGGAGUGGGUUGCAAAAGAAGUAGGUAGCUUAACCUUCGGGAGGGCGCUUACCACUUUGUGAUUCAUGACUGGGGUGAAGUCGUAACAAGGUAACCGUAGGGGAACCUGCGGUUGGAUCACCUCCUUACCUGAA